This 253-nucleotide ribosomal RNA is filed under the name uncultured bacterium. RNAcentral's name for it is "partial 16S ribosomal RNA". It matches the Rfam family "Bacterial small subunit ribosomal RNA", at positions 524 to 776 of the family's 1533-position model. The record is from RNAcentral.
GACGUAGGGGGCCAGCGUUGUUCGGAAUUACUGGGUGUAAAGGGUUCGUAGGCGGUGCGGCAAGUUGGGAGUGAAAUCUCUGGGCUUAACCCAGAGGCUGCUUCCAAAACUGCUGUGCUUGAGUGUGGGAGAGGCGCGUGGAAUUGCAGGUGUAGCGGUGAAAUGCGUAGAUAUCUGCAGGAACACCCGUGGCGAAAGCGGCGCGCUGGACCACUACUGACGCUCAUGCACGAAAGCGUGGGGAGCAAACAGG